RNAcentral lists this long non-coding RNA (2876 nucleotides) under Homo sapiens (human). Its description in RNAcentral is "HSALNT0293633". The record is from RNAcentral. Lineage: Eukaryota; Metazoa; Chordata; Mammalia; Primates; Hominidae.
GUCUCCCAUUUUGUGGCCAGAUUAACACUCUGUGUAACCUGAAUGCCUUCUCACUGAAAAGGCAUGAACUGGCACCACUGCAGCCCUGGGCUUCAUCUCUCCCAGUGACGCCAUAGUGAAUCACUGUGAGGCUAGCUACAGACUCGGUGGGGGCAUUCCAGGGGCCGUUAUUACCGUUAAUCAAUUAGGAAGAGUUAAGAAUUUCUGAAUAUAUGCCAAAUGCAGUGCUGGUCAUUUUUUUGACAUCAGUAGGACAUACUUGAGAUAAAUUUGACAUCUGUCAAUAAAUUAGUAUUUCACCAAGCAAACUACUUAGAAAAAAAUUGGAAAUUUACGGACAUUGAAAUGCACUUUAGAAAUCCAGAAACUUUAUAAAGGAGAACUCCUUAAUACUAGUCUAUUUAAGUUAUAUUUUAUUAUGAGUAUUUAUUUAUUGAGCAAUGACUACAUCACAUAUGUUGUAUACAAGAUAGGGCAGAAUUAAUUUAACUGUAUAGAACAAACUAAAUUUGUAUUAUCCAAAGAAAAUCUACAACUUGAAGUAAUUACUUUUGUUGGAGACAGAUUCUUUAUUGUGAAAAUAAUUAAACAAACAAACAAACACCAUCAGAGAAUGUGAGUUAACAGUCAGGAAACUGGGAGAAAUGGAGAAUGCAUUUUAAAAGUCCCACCUUCCCACAUUUCAUGUAAUGGCUAAUUAAACAUAUGGAAUACAUUAUCUGAACCACAAAUUAAUGUGUUUGGAUAGGGUAGGAGCAAACAAAUGAAAAUGAAGGAAAGCUAUGCAAUUGGAAUCCAGGCAUGAUGUGGACAAGCUCUGCUGGGCACCAGCAUUUGGUUCAUGUUUGAAAAAAUUACAUUAGAACACUUAAAAGCAACAUCUUGCUUAGAGGAUUCUCCUUUUCAAGAGAAAAAUUGAAGUUGGCAAAGCUCGGAUAACAAUAUAUACUAGUAUUAUUGAUGGCCAAAAAUAAGAGGAAAGGAAAUUACACCACUGAUUUAUUCCAAUACAUUUAAACUUUCUGGACAGUUUCCACAUGUUAAAAAGGACAUUGGUGAGCAUCUACAGAUUGAAGAUUUUACCAUCCAAAACCCACAAAGAGAAAACUCCUACUGUGGUCUUCAGAAUUUCCAUUCAGCUGAUUUGCCUGCCAAGUCCAGUGACCAGUACCGCCGCUCCUGAUGGUGGGGAGCAUAUGGUACUGCUGUGAAUAGUUUUGCUCUCACUGCUGUGAAAUCCCACGCCUUCCUACAGAAUGUGUUUGGAGGAGCAAAUGGUAAGUGUCGCUAUUCAGCAUAGCUCUGUCUCUGCCUAUGGAACCCAGUCUUUUAAACAACAAAAUGAAGAUAACUGCAAGUCUUCACAGGCCCUGGUUUAGUGUUAGGCUUCAGGGUUAAUGGUCACCUGUUAACUGUUUCUUCUUCCCAGGAGAGAGGAUUAUCUUUUACACAUCCUGGAUUUACCAGGAUGCAUAAUGGUAAACCAACCAUCCAUCAUUUUUGUUUGUUUGUUUCAAUCCUCCUCUUCCUCUUUCUUCUCCUCCUUCUAAAAAAAUCAUCUUAAAGUGGGACACAAUUUCUAAGUUAAAUUGGGGCUCUGAAAAGAGCACUAGACUUGGAGUUAGGAAGUCUGGAAUAUCAAACACUAACUAGCCUUGUAACCUUGGGCAAAUUUAUUCUGUGCCUCUUCUGUGAAACAGAUGGUGCAGGCCCUGAACGUCCCUUCCAGUUCCAAGAUUAUAUGUGUUUGUGUAGUCCAACUCCACCCCACUCCCAACCUCAUCUCCCAGAAAGUCUUUCUCUACCAUUCAAAAUAAAUUGUUAUUUUUCAUUUUAUAAUGCAGCUUUCAAGAACUUAUGGGGUGGCUUGCUUCUGGGUUUGUUCAUCUCCACUGUCAAGUGGUUCUUCUGUAUGUUUAGCAAAACCCUGUCCCACUGUGGUGUAAGGCUGUUUUUUUUUUUCCUCCUCUGGUUUUUGUGAAAACAGAGAACAAUCCUUUGGAAUUUGCUUAUAGUAAUAGUUUUUCUUGUUUGUACUGUUACUUAAGUUGCUCUUUUAUGUUGUGGCCCUUAAAUGUGUCUUCUAAUAUUCUUAUUGUCUCUUCUCCCCUGUUUUGCCAACGCAUACAUGUGCUGGCUGAGAGGCUAGGGUGGGGCCAUUUGGGGGCCUAAGUUUGAUAUAAUGUGUGCCACAUCGGCUGGUGUGCAACUGAAGGGAGGAGGGAGCAGGCGUUCCUCUGCUGCUGAAGAGGGCUGUGGAAACUUAAGUCAUAGACAUGCUUCAGUGAGAGGAUGAGGAUUUGCCCAGAUGGGAAGCUUCAAGUGCAGAGGCACUUGUACAUCUACUUAUCUUGAGUCUCAAUGAUGCUGUUUAUGAGUGAGCUAUUCAAAUGGAGGAAGAAACCCACGGAGAAGGAGAAAUAACAGGUCGGAGUGAUUAUGUACAGAAGGAUAGGCUCUAGCAGGAGUCCAGUGGGAAAGAAGGAAGGGAAUACAAUUAAGAAUUAUUAAUGGCAGAUCUCUAAUGAUUUCACUGGAUCCAAAGGAACAGGGCAAUACUGAGUAAGAAACACUUGAUAUACGAAAAAAGCGUGAGUGCGAAGGAAAAUACAUCAUUCUACAGAUGUUGACGGACUCUGACGGUGGGAAAGCGUCCCUCAAGAUUGAAUUGGAGUAGAAGCUGACCCUCCCACUUGCCCAGAGAUCCCCUAGCUGGAUACGAUUUCAGCAAUAGAACACUUGAUCAUCACAGUGCUUGGCAUAUACUUUCCUGAUCAAUUUCAUCACACAAGCUGGCAGCUAUGGGCAGUGAGGGAAGGAAGGGGCAAUCUCCUCACUAGACAGCCGUGCCAAGGUCACCCUGGUCCAUCCAUGAG